UGUCUCCUGCAGUGUUCGAUGUCUGUCAGGAACCCUUGAGCCUAAUUGCAAUGCAAAGGGAGCCUCAACAGCGUAGGGAGUGCAGGCCCGCCCCGCAGCGGGAAGCCCGAAUACCUUGUCCGGCCCCCACUUGAGACCUCCGUCUCAAGGUCACGACGGAUGACGGCACAGGUGGGAGACAC
Molecule: non-coding RNA, 182 nt
Filed under: Nevskia sp.
Lineage: Bacteria; Pseudomonadati; Pseudomonadota; Gammaproteobacteria; Nevskiales; Nevskiaceae
Description: 6S RNA
Rfam family: 6S / SsrS RNA
About the family: E. coli 6S RNA was the first non coding RNA to be sequenced, but its function was unknown until recently. It consists of 184 nucleotides that fold into an extended hairpin structure with a large single-stranded internal bulge. The 6S RNA specifically associates with RNA polymerase holoenzyme containing the sigma70 specificity factor.
Source: RNAcentral